Molecule: non-coding RNA, 116 nt
Organism: Ilex paraguariensis (yerba mate)
Lineage: Eukaryota; Viridiplantae; Streptophyta; Magnoliopsida; Aquifoliales; Aquifoliaceae
Source: the annotation of a GenBank genome assembly
GUGAUCAUAUCAGUACUUGUGCACUGAAUUUCAUCAGAACUCUACAGUCAAACAUGAUUGAGCAAAAGUAGUACUAUGAUGGGGUGAUCCUCUAAAAAGUCCUUGUAUUGCACCUC